RNAcentral lists this ribosomal RNA (207 nucleotides) under uncultured bacterium. Its description in RNAcentral is "partial 16S ribosomal RNA". It matches the Rfam family "Bacterial small subunit ribosomal RNA", at positions 524 to 730 of the family's 1533-position model. The record is from RNAcentral.
UACGUAGGCAGCAAGCGUUGUUCGGAGUUACUGGGCGUAAAGGGUGUGUAGGCGGUUGGAUAAGUGUGGUGUGAAAUCUCCCGGCUUAACUGGGGGGGUGCGCUACAAACUGUCUGACUAGAGUGUGGGAUGGGUAAGUGGAAUUCCUGGUGUAGCGGUGAAAUGCGUAGAUAUCAGGAGGAACACCGGUGGCGAAGGCGGGGUCUC